UGCGUAGGCGGAUAACUAAGUCUAAGGUGAAAGUCUGUGGCUUAACUAUAGAAUUGCCUUGGAUACUGGUUAUCUUGAAUUGGGUUGAGGAUGGCGGAAUGUGACAUGUAGCGGUGAAAUGCAUAGAUAUGUCAUAGAACACCAAUUGCGAAGGCAGCCAUCUGGGCCUUGAUUGACGCUGAGGCACGAAAGCGUGGGGAGCGAACAGGAUUAGAUACCCUGGUAGUCC
Molecule: ribosomal RNA, 229 nt
Filed under: uncultured bacterium
Lineage: Bacteria
Description: partial 16S ribosomal RNA
Rfam family: Bacterial small subunit ribosomal RNA
Source: RNAcentral